CACGCUGUAAACGAUGGAUACUAGGUGUAGGGGGCGUAGAGCCUUCUGUGCCGCAGCAAACGCAAUAAGUAUCCCGCCUGGGGAGUACGGCCGCAAGGUUGAAACUCAAAGGAAUUGACGGGGGCCCGCACAAGCAGCGGAGCAUGUGGUUUAAUUCGAAGCAACGCGAAGAACCUUACCAGGGCUUGACAUCCCUUGAAGUGCGUGGAAACACGUACGCCCUUCGGGGCAAGGAGACAGGUGG
This 244-nucleotide ribosomal RNA is filed under the name uncultured Clostridia bacterium. RNAcentral describes it as "partial 16S ribosomal RNA". It matches the Rfam family "Bacterial small subunit ribosomal RNA", at positions 796 to 1041 of the family's 1533-position model. The record is from RNAcentral. Lineage: Bacteria; Bacillati; Bacillota; Clostridia.